GAUAAACGCUGGCGGCGUGCCUAAUACAUGCAAGUCGAGCGAACGGACGAGAAGCUUGCUUCUCUGAUGUUAGCGGCGGACGGGUGAGUAACACGUGGAUAACCUACCUAUAAGACUGGGAUAACUUCGGGAAACCGAAGCUAAUACCGGAUAAUAUUUUGAACCGCAUGGUUCAAAAGUGAAAGACGGUCUUGCUGUCACUUAUAGAUGGAUCCGCGCUGCAUUAGCUAGUUGGUAAGGUAACGGCUUACCAAGGCAACGAUGCAUAGCCGACCUGAGAGGGUGAUCGGCCACACUGGAACUGAGACACGGUCCAGACUCCUACGGGAGGCAGCAGUAGGGAAUCUUCCGCAAUGGGCGAAAGCCUGACGGAGCAACGCCGCGUGAGUGAUGAAGGUCUUCGGAUCGUAAAACUCUGUUAUUAGGGAAGAACAUAUGUGUAAGUAACUGUGCACAUCUUGACGGUACCUAAUCAGAAAGCCACGGCUAACUACGUGCCAGCAGCCGCGGUAAUACGUAGGUGGCAAGCGUUAUCCGGAAUUAUUGGGCGUAAAGCGCGCGUAGGCGGUUUUUUAAGUCUGAUGUGAAAGCCCACGGCUCAACCGUGGAGGGUCAUUGGAAACUGGAAAACUUGAGUGCAGAAGAGGAAAGUGGAAUUCCAUGUGUAGCGGUGAAAUGCGCAGAGAUAUGGAGGAACACCAGUGGCGAAGGCGACUUUCUGGUCUGUAACUGACGCUGAUGUGCGAAAGCGUGGGGAUCAAACAGGAUUAGAUACCCUGGUAGUCCACGCCGUAAACGAUGAGUGCUAAGUGUUAGGGGGUUUCCGCCCCUUAGUGCUGCAGCUAACGCAUUAAGCACUCCGCCUGGGGAGUACGACCGCAAGGUUGAAACUCAAAGGAAUUGACGGGGACCCGCACAAGCGGUGGAGCAUGUGGUUUAAUUCGAAGCAACGCGAAGAACCUUACCAAAUCUUGACAUCCUUUGACAACUCUAGAGAUAGAGCCUUCCCCUUCGGGGGACAAAGUGACAGGUGGUGCAUGGUUGUCGUCAGCUCGUGUCGUGAGAUGUUGGGUUAAGUCCCGCAACGAGCGCAACCCUUAAGCUUAGUUGCCAUCAUUAAGUUGGGCACUCUAAGUUGACUGCCGGUGACAAACCGGAGGAAGGUGGGGAUGACGUCAAAUCAUCAUGCCCCUUAUGAUUUGGGCUACACACGUGCUACAAUGGACAAUACAAAGGGCAGCGAAACCGCGAGGUCAAGCAAAUCCCAUAAAGUUGUUCUCAGUUCGGAUUGUAGUCUGCAACUCGACUACAUGAAGCUGGAAUCGCUAGUAAUCGUAGAUCAGCAUGCUACGGUGAGUACGUUCCCGGGUCU
Molecule: ribosomal RNA, 1372 nt
Filed under: uncultured bacterium
Lineage: Bacteria
Description: bacterial SSU rRNA
Rfam family: Bacterial small subunit ribosomal RNA
Source: RNAcentral